AGAGUUUGAUCCUGGCUCAGGACGAACGCUGGCGGCGUGCUUAACACAUGCAAGUCAGGGAGAAAGGAGUAGCAAUACUCUGAGUAAACCGGCGAACGGGUGAGUAAUACGUAGGCAACUUACCUUGUGAACGGGGAUAACCCCGCGAAAGCGGGGCUAAUACCCGAUGAAGUUCAGUUACAGCAUUGUAGCGGAAUGAAAGAUCCCAAAAGGAUGUCACAAGAUGGGCCUGCGUCCCAUUAGAUAGUUGGCGGGGUAAUGGCCCACCAAGUCGACGAUGGGUAGCUGGUCUGAGAGGACGAUCAGCCACACUGGAACUGAGACACGGUCCAGACUUCUACGGAAGGCAGCAGUGAGGAAUAUUGCUCAAUGGGCGAAAGCCUGAAGCAGCGACGCCGCGUGAGGGAUGAAAUCCGUUAGGAUGUAAACCUCUUUUGCAGGGGAUGAAUGUCCCGUUUUACGGGAUUGACCGUACUCUGCGAAUAAGCACCGGCCAACUACGUGCCAGCAGCCGCGGUAAUACGUAGGGUGCAAGCGUUGUCCGGAAUUACUGGGUGUAAAGGGUCCGCAGGCGGGUAAGCAAGUCGGUGGUGAAAUCCUGCAGCUCAACUGCAGAACUGCCUCCGAUACUGUUUAUCUUGAGUACGAGAGAGGAUGAUGGAAUUCAUGGUGUAGCGGUGAAAUGCGUAGAGAUCAUGAAGAACACCGGUUGCGAAGGCGAUCAUCUGGCUCGUUACUGACGCUCAGGGACGAAAGCGUGGGGAGCAAACAGGAUUAGAUACCCUGGUAGUCC
RNAcentral lists this ribosomal RNA (793 nucleotides) under uncultured bacterium. RNAcentral describes it as "bacterial SSU rRNA". It matches the Rfam family "Bacterial small subunit ribosomal RNA", at positions 8 to 796 of the family's 1533-position model. The record is from RNAcentral.